CCUACGGGGUGCACCAGUGGGGAAUAUUGCACAAUGGGCGCAAGCCUGAUGCAGCCAUGCCGCGUGUAUGAAGAAGGCCUUCGGGUUGUAAAGUACUUUCAGCGGGGAGGAAGGUGUUGUGGUUAAUAACCACAGCAAUUGACGUUACCCGCAGAAGAAGCACCGGCUAACUCCGUGCCAGCAGCCGCGGUAAUACGGAGGGUGCAAGCGUUUAUCGGAAUUACUGGGCGUAAAGUGCACGCAGGCGGUCCGUCAAGUCGGAUGUGAAAUCCCCGGGCUCAACCUGGGAACUGCAUUCGAAACUGGCAGGCUAGAGUCUUGUAGAGGGGGGUAGAAUUCCAGGUGUAGCGGUGAAAUGCGUAGAGAUCUGGAGGAAUAUCGGUGGCGAAGGCGGCCCCCUGGACAAAGACUGACGCUCAGGUGCGAAAGCGUGGGGAGCAAACAGGAUUAGGUACCCUGGUAGUC
RNAcentral lists this ribosomal RNA (465 nucleotides) under uncultured bacterium. RNAcentral's name for it is "bacterial SSU rRNA". It matches the Rfam family "Bacterial small subunit ribosomal RNA", at positions 338 to 795 of the family's 1533-position model. The record is from RNAcentral.